UACGGAGGGUGCGAGCGUUGUUCGGAAUCACUGGGCGUAAAGGGCGCGUAGGCGGCUCGGUAAGUCGGGGGUGAAAUCCUGCGGCUUAACCGCAGGGCUGCCUUCUAAACUGUCGAGCUCGAGCACGGUAGAGGCAGAUGGAAUUCCCGGUGUAGCGGUGGAAUGCGUAGAGAUCGGGAAGAACACCGGUGGCGAAGGCGGCUCUCUGGGCCUGUCCUGACGCUCAGGCGCGAAAGCUAGGGGAGCAAACAGG
This 253-nucleotide ribosomal RNA is filed under the name uncultured bacterium. RNAcentral's name for it is "partial 16S ribosomal RNA". It matches the Rfam family "Bacterial small subunit ribosomal RNA", at positions 524 to 776 of the family's 1533-position model. The record is from RNAcentral.